GGGAUCAGUCGAUUUGACGUUUGGCUUGGGUCGUUUAAUAUUGAACGACCCAAGCCAAACGUCAAAUCGACUGAUCCC
This 78-nucleotide microRNA precursor is filed under the name Aedes aegypti (yellow fever mosquito). RNAcentral describes it as "pre miRNA AAEL028926". Lineage: Eukaryota; Metazoa; Arthropoda; Insecta; Diptera; Culicidae. The record is from RNAcentral.